UCCGGUUGAUCCUGCCGGAGGCCACUGCUAUCGGUGUUCGAUUAAGCCAUGCGAGUCGAGAGGUGCAAGACCUCGGCAUACUGCUCAGUAACACGUGGACAACCUACCCUGAGGAGGGGGAUAACCCCGGAAAACUGGGGAUAAUACCCCAUAGGCCAGGGAUGCUGGAAUGCUCCUGGUUGAAAGGUCCGCCGCCUCAGGAUGGGUCUGCGGCCGAUUAGGUUGUUGUUGGGGUAACGGCCCAACAAGCCAUUGAUCGGUACGGGUUGUGGGAGCAAGAGCCCGGAGAUGGAUUUCUGAGACACGAAUCCAGGCCUACGGGGCCGCAGCAGGCGCGAAAACUUUACAAUGCGAGGAAAUCGUGAUAAGGGAACCCCGAGUGCCCGUAAAUUCGGGCUGUCCAUCAGUGUAAAAAACUGGUGAAGAAAGGGCCGGGCAAGACCGGUGCCAGCCGCCGCGGUAAUACCGGCGGCUCGAGUGGUGGCCGCUAUUAUUGGGCUUAAAGCGUCCGUAGCUGGGUUGUUAAGUCUCCUGGGAAAUCCACCGGCUCAACCGGUGGGCGUUCGGGAGAAACUGGCAACCUAGGGACCGGGAGAGGUGAGAGGUACUCCAGGGGUAGGAGUGAAAUCCUGUAAUCCUUGGGGGACCACCUGUGGCGAAGGCGUCUCACUAGAACGGCUCCGACAGUGAGGGACGAAACCUGGGGGAGCAAACCGGAUUAGAUACCCGGGUAGUCCCAGCUGUAAACGAUGCGCGUUAGGUGUAUCGGUGACCACGAGUCACCGAGGUGCCGAAGGGAAACCGUGAAACGUGCCGCCUGGGAAGUACGGUCGCAAGGCUGAAACUUAAAGGAAUUGGCGGGA
RNAcentral lists this ribosomal RNA (863 nucleotides) under uncultured methanogenic archaeon. RNAcentral's name for it is "bacterial SSU rRNA". It matches the Rfam family "Archaeal small subunit ribosomal RNA", at positions 1 to 873 of the family's 1478-position model. The record is from RNAcentral. Lineage: Archaea; Methanobacteriati; Methanobacteriota.